CUUAUUAUCAGCUCUUUUUUAACUUACACAUGCAAGUCUCCGCACACCCGUGAAAACGCCCUUUAAGCCUUAUCUAGGCAAAGGAGCUGGCAUCAGGCGCAGAUUCUUGCCCACGACGCCUAGUUUCACCACACCCCCAAGGGUAGUCAGCAGUGAUAAACAUUGUUAAUAAGCGAUAGCUUGACCCAGUUAGAAAUAAUAGAGCCGGCUAACACGGUGCCAGCCGCCGCGGCUACACCGCUGGGCUCAAGUUGAUAACUUUCGGCGUUAAGCGUGAUUAAAGUAUUUUUACAAUAGAGUUAAAUAUAGACCCGGCCGUAAAAAGCCUGUUAUUUAGAAAACCAUAAACGAAGGUUACUCUACUUUACUUGAACCCACGACAGUUAGGAAACAAACUGAGAUUAGAUACCCCACUAUGCCUAACCGUAAAAAAUUGAUUCACACCACCAACGCCCGGGAAUUACGAGCCCAAACUUAAAACCCAAAGGACUUGACGGUGUCCCACCCACCUAGAGGAGCCUGUCCCAUAAUCGAUACCCCGCGCUAUACCUCACCAUUUUUUGCCCCCAGUCUGUAUACCUCCGUCGCAAGCCUACCAUGUGAAUGCUUAAGUAGGCCCAACGGGCCCCUCCCCUCAACGUCAGGUCAAGGUGCAGCUUAUAAAAUGGAAGAAGAUGGGCUACAAUCUCUAAUUUAGAACAAACGAAAAGCUGCAUGAAACACACAGCAUGAAGGUGGAUUUAGAAGUAAAAAGAAAUAGAACAUUCUUUUUAACUAGGCACUGGGACGUGUACACACCGCCCGUCACCCUCUUCGACAACUCCAACACGUUAUUAACCUAACUCCACACCAGAGAAGAGGCAAGUCGUAACAUGGUAAGUGUACUGGAAAGUGCACUUGGACUAACAUACUAUAGCUUAAACAAAGCAUCUCGCUUACACCGAGAAGAUGUCUGCUAACCCGGAUUAGUUUGAUUAUAAAUAUCACUAGCUAAAACCCGUCCUGCACAAACAGCCCACAACACGCUGAUUCCACAAACAAUAGCUUAAAUAAAGCAUCUCCCUUCAUCGAGACAAUCUCUGCUAACCCGGAUUAGUUUGAGCUUAAAAUCUAGCCCACACAAACAUGCAUGCCCCCCCCCCCAUUAAACAUUAUAGACAACAAAACAUUUUAACUAAUUAGUAAAGGCGAUUGAAAACCCCCUAAGAGCUUCAGACCCAGUACCGCAAGGGAAUAAUGAAAUAAACUGAAAUAACCUUAAGCCUAAAAAAGCAAAGAUUAAACCUUGUACCUUUUGCAUCAUGGUCUAGCCAGUCAAACUGGGCAAAAGAAACUUUUAGUCCAACCCCCCGAAACUGAGCGAGCUACUUCAAAACAGCCCAAAGGGCCAACCCGUCUCUGUUGCAAAAGAGUGGGAUGAUUUUUAAGUAGAGGUGAUAGACCUAUCGCGCCCAGAGAUAGCUGGUUAUUCAGGAAAAGGAUUUUAGUUUUGCCUUAAGCCAACCCCGCGAUACAAAUCAAACUUAAGAGUUACUCAAAUAAGGCACAGCUUAUUUGAAACAGGACACAACCUAAGGGCUAGGGUAAGAAAAAAAUUUAGUAGACAAGUGGGCCCAAGAGCAGCCACCUUUAAAAAAGCGUCAAAGCUUACCUAUUUCCCCCCCCCAAAUUUCUCCAACAACACUUAACCCCCUCUCCACUACUGAAUAAUUUUAUAUUUUAUAAAAGCACCCCUGCUAGAACUAGUAACAAGAAAUCGAAUUUCUCCAAAAUGUAAACUUAAGCCAGCAUGAACCAAGCACUGGCAAUUAACGUUCGUGAACCAUUUACAGUAACACACCCAGAAAAUCCUGUAUACCUUCCCGUUACCCUAACACCAGAACAUUCCAGGAAAGAUUAAAAGAGAGAGAAGGAACUCGGCAAAUCCUAACCCCGCCUGUUUACCAAAAACAUCGCCUCUUGCAAAUUAUAAGAGGUCCAGCCUGCCCAGUGACAAAGUUCAACGGCCGCGGUAUCCUAACCGUGCGAAGGUAGCAUAAUCACUUGUUCUUUAAAUAAGGACUAGUAUCAACGGCAUCACGAGGGUUAUACUGUCUCCUCUCUCCAAUCAGUGAAACUGAUCUCCCCGUGAAGAAGCGAGGAUACAAUCAUAAGACGAGAAGACCCCAUGGAGCUUUAAACUCAACAGCACCUUUUUUACCCAGACCAGCAAAGUUAAAAAGAACUGCCUGUUAGCUUUAGGUUGGGGUGACCGCGGAGAAUAAUAAAACCUCCACAACGAAUGGGUACGCCCUUAUCCAAGAGCAACCGCUCUAAGAAUCAAUAAAUUGACGUACUAUGAUCCGAUAUUCGAUCAACGAACCAAGUUACCCUGGGGAUAACAGCGCAAUCCAUUUCAAGAGCCCCUAUCGACAAGUGGGUUUACGACCUCGAUGUUGGAUCAGGGUAUCCUAGUGGUGCAGCCGCUACUAAAGGUU
Molecule: non-coding RNA, 2477 nt
Filed under: Phrynobatrachus versicolor (Rwanda river frog)
Lineage: Eukaryota; Metazoa; Chordata; Amphibia; Anura; Phrynobatrachidae
Description: partial contains 12S ribosomal RNA, tRNA-Val, and 16S ribosomal RNA
Rfam family: Bacterial small subunit ribosomal RNA (bases 1-913)
Source: RNAcentral